This 782-nucleotide long non-coding RNA is filed under the name Zonotrichia albicollis (white-throated sparrow). Its description in RNAcentral is "lncRNA (ENSZALG00000018108.1)". Lineage: Eukaryota; Metazoa; Chordata; Aves; Passeriformes; Passerellidae. The record is from RNAcentral.
CAGCAGCGGAAUGUGUGCUAUUGAUUGGCUGGUUAAAGAGAGGCCUAUUAGAUUGAGACAGGCUGGAUUGAUUAUACAGCAGCAGAAGGAGCUCAGAUUCAGAGCUGAGUGAACGUCAGGGUGAGAGAGAGGGAGAGCAAGCGAGAGAAAGCGUGCAAUAGAGGGAGACCGUGCCCACUGUAGCAUCAGUGUGUGACAGCUGGUGCCUGAUAACACUGAUAUUGAGCUCCUUCAGUGGAGAACUUGCUGAGCUACCCUUUUUUCAUUUGCAAGAGGAUACCAGCUCUAAGCCAGUGCAACUGAUGACAGACUGGAUCUUGGAAUAGUUAAUUUCACUUACAAUUACAUCUCUCAUGUUCUGCUUCUCUGAAGAAAGGCUUAUUACGGAAGACAAAAAUUCAUUCUCUCCCCUUACCUCACAUAUUAUUGAUGAUAUACAGAGUUUGAUCUUCCAGUGAAAGCUACUGAAUCAGGAUUUUGGUGUUUUCAGUGGACGCUUGCAAGACUGUUUGGUGGAAAACAAAUUUCUAAGGUCUUGGCUAGUCAUCAAGUUUCUUGUACCAUCAGAAGAAUUGUUAUGGGAAUAAGAAAUGUUAUAUCACCUCUGUUUGAUGGACCUCCACUGGCAAGAAGGACGAGUUAGUCUGUAGACAGCUAUCUUGGCUUUUUGGUAUUGAUUCAGAUAAUUUGAGAUUCUUGAAGACAUCUUGCCAUGAACUGGUGCGUAGCUCAGCUGCUCUGAUGCAUCCUGAAGAAAUGUGAAUGGUCUAAAAAGCAAGAAG